RNAcentral lists this ribosomal RNA (402 nucleotides) under uncultured bacterium. Its description in RNAcentral is "bacterial SSU rRNA". It matches the Rfam family "Bacterial small subunit ribosomal RNA", at positions 355 to 774 of the family's 1533-position model. The record is from RNAcentral.
UGGGGAAUAUUGCACAAUGGGCGAAAGCCUGAUGCAGCGACGCCGCGUGAGUGAUGACGUAUUUCGGUAUGUAAAGCUCUAUCAGCAGGGAAGAUAAUGACGGUACCUGACUAAGAAGCCCCGGCUAACUACGUGCCAGCAGCCGCGGUAAUACGUAGGGGGCAAGCGUUAUCCGGAUUUACUGGGUGUAAAGGGUGCGUAGGUGGUAUGGUAAGUCAGAAGUGAAAGGUGAGGGCUCAACCCUUAGACUGCUUUUGAAACUAUCAAACUAGAGUGCAGGAGAGGUAAGUGGAAUUCCUAGUGUAGCGGUGAAAUGCGUAGAUAUUAGGAGGAACACCAGUGGCGAAGGCGGCUUACUGGACUGUAACUGACACUGAGGCACGAAAGCGUGGGGAGCAAACA